RNAcentral lists this ribosomal RNA (253 nucleotides) under uncultured bacterium. Its description in RNAcentral is "partial 16S ribosomal RNA". It matches the Rfam family "Bacterial small subunit ribosomal RNA", at positions 524 to 776 of the family's 1533-position model. The record is from RNAcentral.
UACGUAGGGGGCAGGCGUUAUCCGGAUUUACUGGGUGUAAAGGGAGCGUAGGCGGCGAUGCAAGUCAGAAGUGAAAGCCCGGGGCUCAACUCCGGGACUGCUUUUGAAACUGUGUUGCUAGAUUGCAGGAGAGGUAAGUGGAAUCCCUAGUGUAGCGGUGAAAUGCGUAGAUAUUAGGAGGAACACCAGUGGCGAAGGCGGCUUACUGGACUGUAAAUGACGCUGAGGCUCGAAAGCGUGGGGAGCAAGCAGG